This 562-nucleotide ribosomal RNA is filed under the name Salmonella enterica subsp. enterica serovar Thompson. RNAcentral's name for it is "partial 23S ribosomal RNA". It matches the Rfam family "Bacterial large subunit ribosomal RNA", at positions 711 to 1269 of the family's 2925-position model. RNAcentral also lists the same sequence under 5 other names. Lineage: Bacteria; Pseudomonadati; Pseudomonadota; Gammaproteobacteria; Enterobacterales; Enterobacteriaceae. The record is from RNAcentral.
AGACCCGAAACCCGGUGAUCUAGCCAUGGGCAGGUUGAAGGUUGGGUAACACUAACUGGAGGACCGAACCGACUAAUGUUGAAAAAUUAGCGGAUGACCUGUGGCUGGGGGUGAAAGGCCAAUCAAACCGGGAGAUAGCUGGUUCUCCCCGAAAGCUAUUUAGGUAGCGCCUCGUGAAUUCAUCUCCGGGGGUAGAGCACUGUUUCGGCUAGGGGGCCAUCCCGGCUUACCAACCCGAUGCAAACUGCGAAUACCGGAGAAUGUUAUCACGGGAGACACACGGCGGGUGCUAACGUCCGUCGUGAAGAGGGAAACAACCCAGACCGCCAGCUAAGGUCCCAAAGUCAUGGUUAAGUGGGAAACGAUGUGGGAAGGCCCAGACAGCCAGGAUGUUGGCUUAGAAGCAGCCAUCAUUUAAAGAAAGCGUAAUAGCUCACUGGUCGAGUCGGCCUGCGCGGAAGAUGUAACGGGGCUAAACCAUGCACCGAAGCUGCGGCAGCGACGCUGAUGCGUUGUUGGGUAGGGGAGCGUUCUGUAAGCCUGUGAAGGUGUGUCGUGAGGC